GGGAGAGGGAACGGAGCAGCGGGAUCGGGAUCGGCAGCGGGAUCGGGAUCGGGGACCCCCGGCCCGGCUGCGGACCCCGGAGCGGCUCCAGGACAGCCCUGCGGAUCCGGGGACAUUCCCUGGGAUCGGGGACACCUCCCGGGAAUCCGUGACCCCGGGGCGGUGACCUCGGUGCCCCUUCCCCCGGAAAGAGCCCGGACCUUCCUCCCCGGCCGCUUCCUCUUCCUGGGCACGGAACCCUUGGGCCGCCGCUCCUGGGACUGCCGGAAUUCCUGGGACACCCCUGGGACACCCCUGGGACACCCCUGGGACACCCGGGCGAGCCGAGGUGGCCCCUUGGCUCCCCGCUUGCCGGGGCCCAUGUUGUGUUUGCCGUUCAGGAGGAAGGGGCGGAACGGGGAUCCCCCCGAAGCCGCGGAUCCCGGGAUGUUCCACGAGCCCCGCGCUCCCGAGGACUCGCCGGGAGCCGCCGGGCCCUGGCAGCCGGAUCCGGAGGAGUUUUCCACGUUCUGCCGCCACCGGAGGCCCGGGAAGGGCUGGGGGCUGCCCUGGGCCGGGCUGCAGAGCCAGGACGGGAUCCGGCCUUCCCGAGGAGCCGGGGAGAGCUGGAGGGACACCGGGAUGCCGGGAGAGGCGGGAGAUGCGCCCGGGUGUGCCCAGGCGGACGGGAGAGAGCAGCAGGAGUCCAGCAGGAACAACUGAAAGUGGGGAACAGCCCCAGCGGGAUCCGACACCUCGGGAAGGACGUUCGGGAUGAGCCGCGUGUCCCACGCACGGCCCAGAACGGGAAUGUGCCCAGGGAAGGGACGGAUCAGCCUCAGCCCCCGCGCCAGGAGGAGGAGGGAGAGUCCAGCGGCUCUUCCCAGAGCCCGGGAUCGGGCGCGGAGGGGGACGCGGGCGCUGCCACCGGCCCUGGAGGGGACGGGGGACGGACGGGAGCCGGAGCGUCCGUUGGGAGCGGAGCUGAGGCGGCGUCUCCGGGAAAGGCUGUGCCAGCUGGGACAGGACACGGAAAGCUCGGACGGGAAAUCCACGGCAGCGCUGGCGGCCCAGCUGGCGGAGAAGAUCCUGAGCACGCCCACCGAGAUGUAUCCCUCGGAGCCGGGAAUGUGGAGCGUCCGUUGGGAGCAGGGAUCCGGAGCCGGCCGGGACCUCGAGCUCGGCGUUCCCGUGUCCGUGCGUGGGAGCGCGCCCGGGAAUGACGGGAUCGUCAUCGGGAUGCUGCAGCUCUGCAGGAAUGCGGAGAGCAGCCAGGAGGAGGAGGAGGAGGGAGAAGUUUUCCUCUCGCGGAUCUACUGGCUCCAGGAUUCCUCGGGCCUGGCACAGGAAUUCCCGGAGGUGUGGGCGCGCUCCCCGCCUGGACUGCGGCCGGCUGGCCGAGGAGGAGUGGCUGGACGGGGCCCCCGUGGGCUUCCAAGAGCAGCGCCCGAAGCCACCCGACGUGGAAGAGCGGAUGGCGGAAUUGCUGCGGGAAUACCUGGAGCAGGGAAUCGUGGUGGAGGGCAGCUCCGCCUCCAACAACCCCUUGAUCCUCAUCCCAAAGCGCAACGGGACGGGCUGGCGCCUGACCCUGGACUGCCGAGCCCUCAACGAGGCCACUCCCGUGGAGCCCCCGGAGCGGCCGGACAGGGCCUGGCUCCUGGCGUCCGUCAACCCGCGGAGCCGCUUCUUCUCCGUGCUGGAUUUAUCCAACGCCUGCCUCGCCAUUCCCUUGGCCCGCAGCUCCUGGCCCAGGUUCGCCUUCACCUUCCAGGGCCGGCAGUUCCUGUUCACGCGGCUGCCGCCAACGUUCCACGGCACCAACUCCAUCCUGCACCGGCGCGUGUGCGCCGUGCUGGCCCAGCUGGAGCCCGGCGCCGCUCCCGGCGUUUUCCAUUACAACGACGACAUCCUGGUGACCGGGAAGAGCUGGCGGCAGGCGGCGUACCGCACCCGGAGAGUGCUGGAGCUCAUCCGGAGCGCCGGCUUCAAAGCCAACCCGCACAAGGCGCAGCUGGUGCGGCGCGAGGUGAAUUUCCUGGGAGUAACCAUCGGAGCCGCGGGGCAGCGCGUUCCCGAGGAAAAGGUGGAGAAGAUCCGCGCGGACUGCGACGCCCUCCGCUCCUGCAGCGCCGGCACGCUCCGCUCCAUCCUCGGGAAGUUCGGGAGCUGGCGCUGUUUCAUUCCCGACUACUGGGAGCUGGCGCUGCCGCUGCAGCGCCUGGCGGAGCAGGGAGACGGGGAAUGGGAAUGGGGCUGGAGGCAGCAGCUGCGGCAGCUGAUGGAGGCCCUGGAGGCCGCGCCCGUCCUGCGCUUCCCGGAUAAAUCCCGGCCCUUCCUCAUCCGGCUCUCGCCGCACGAGGAGACGGCGGGAGCGGCGCUGCUGCAGGAAAAGGCGGGGAUUCUGCUCCCGGUGGGACACUGCUCCCGCAUCCUGAGCAGGUGGAAUUUCUCCGAUGUGGAGAUGGGAUGCGUGGCGGCCGUCCAGGCCGUGCAAGACUUCGAGGACUUCACGGGGCCGGCUCCCAUCGUGAUCUCGGAUUCCAUGUGGAAUUACCUCGUCCGGGGCGAGGCGCUGGGCUCUGGCGGCUCCGGGCUCCCGGAGCAAUGGACGCUGCUCCUGACAUCCAGAGGGCCGGACAAGCGGGAAUCCCAAAGGAUCGCCAUCGUGCCGGCUCCCGAGCUCCAGUAUCUGCUUUCCGACGUUCCUGAAGCCGACGUGUGGUUCCUGGCCGUGGAAUCGCGGGGAUCGUCCGUCGGCUUCGCCGCCGUCAGCCUGGAGGAGCGGUGGCUGCUGGGGGGCUGCCGGGGCGCGUGGGGGGCGGCGGCGAUGGAGCUGGAGGCGCUGCGGGAGCUCCUGGAGCAGCACCGCAGCUCGGGCCCGCUCUUCCUCUACUCCAGCUGCCCGGCCCUGGCGGCGCGGCUGGAAAGGCGGGAGAGGGAGCCGGGCUGGAAUCCCGCCGGGAACGCCUGGCCCCGCGUCCUGCGCUGGCUCCGCGCCUUCCCGGGGAUGCUCAGGGUGGGGGAGCCGGGAAGGGCCGGCAGCGCGGAGCGGGCUUGGAUCACGCGGGCGAGUGCCAGGGCCAGGGCGGUGGCCGGGAGCGGCCGGAAAAUCUGGGAACCGUCCAAGUACGAGCGGCAGGAAAUCGUCGCGCGGUGCCACCGCCGGCACGAGGGCGUGGACGGGACCCUGGCCAGGGUGCGGGCGGUGGCGUCCUGGGAAGGCGACGGCCGCGACGUGGCCCGCUGGGUGCGGAGCUGCCCCACGUGCCGCCAUCCCGACGCCGAUCCCGAUCCCGGCCCGCAGCGGGCGGAGGGCCCCUGGUCCUGCCUCUGGAUCAGCCUCUCCAAGCCCCUUCCCCGGAGCGCCGAGGGCUUCUGCGCGCUCCUGGUGGUGCAGGACGCGCUCUCGGGCUGGGUGGACGCCUUCCCGCUGCGGCGGCGCGCGGAGCCGGACGUCGCCCAGACGCUCCUCCGGGAAGUUUUCGGGAAUUUCGGCACGGUCGCCUCGGUGCUGCUGGCGCCGGCGCCCGCCUGGAUGUGGAAUUCCAUGAGCCGGGCCCCGCUCCGGGGUUUCUGGAGCCGCCUGGAGCGCUCGUGCCCGCACGAGGCCGCCGAGCGCCUGUGGAGGGUGGCGCAGGCGGCCGGGAAGGGCUGGGCCGGGAUGCUCCCGCUGAUCCUGGCGGGAAUCCGAUCCUACCACGUCAGGAGAGACGGGCUGGGCCCUCUGCUCUGCGUUCCCGGCCUGCCCCUGGAAUCGCGCUGGAAAGGCCCCGCAGAGGAGGAAGCCGACACCGGGAAUGAGACCAGGAACGCCGGGAACAACGCCGGGAACGAGGCCGGGAACAACGCCUGGAACGAGCUCUCCUGGCUGCGCAGGACGCGGCUCCUGCCGGGCUACCGGGAGCACGUGGAGGCCGCGCUCUGCCAGGAUCCCGGCUCGGGGCUGGGGGGACGGUGGUUAGGCUGGACUGGGGGGGGUUUAGACGGGACUGGAAGAGGUUUUAGGGAUGGGAGAGGUUUUAGGGAUGGGAGAGGUUUUAGGCAGGACUGGGAGAUGUUUUAGGGAUGGGAGAGGUUUUAGGGAUGGGAGAGGUUUUAGGCGGGACUGGGAGACGCUUUAGGUGGGACUGGGAGAGGUUUUAGGGAUGGGACUGGGAGAGGUUUUAGGGAUGGGAGAGGUUUUAGGGAUGGGAGAGGUUUUAGGGAUGGGAGAGGUUUUAGGCGGGACUGGGAGAGGUUUUAGGGAUAGGAGAGGUUUUAGGGAUAGGAGAGGUUUUAGGCGGGACUGGGAGAGGUUUCAGGGAUGGGAUAGCUUUUAACUGGGACUGGGAGAGCUUUUAGGCCUGGUGAAGGUUUUAGGCUGGACUGAGGCUCUUAGGGGGGGCUGGGGGGCUUUUGGGCCGCACUGAGCAGAGUUUUAGGCCUGGGAGAGCGUUUAGGCUGGGCUGGGGAACUUUUAAGCAGGACUGGGGGGGAUUUUAGGCAGGAUUUGGGACUUUUUAGAACUGGUGAAAGUUUAAGUCAGGACUGAGGGACUUCCGGGCAGGACUGGGGAACUUUUAGGCCUGGGGGAGCUUUUAGGGUGGACUGGGGAACUUUUAGAACUGGUAAAGCUUUUAGGCCGGACUGAGGGGCUUUUAGGCUGGACUGAGAGAGGUUUUAGGCGGGACUGAGAGAGGUUUUAGGUGGGACUUGGGGCAGUUUUUAGGCAGAUUUGGGACCUUUUAGAACCGUUGAAGCUUUAAGUCAGGACUGAGGGACGUUUAGGCCCGGCAGAGCGUUUAGGCCGCACUAAGCCCGGCUCAGCCUCCUGCUCCGCUGGCCAGGCCCAGGCAAGGACAUCUCCCUGCUCCGACUGGUUCGGGCUGGGCUCGGCUUUUCCCGGGAAAUCCGGGAUGGAGCCGCCAUUCCCGAUCCGCUCGAGGGGCUCCCGCUUCCCCAUGGAAGUCCUGGAAUGUUUUCCCUCUUUUCCCACCCCUCGUUGCCUUCAUUAAACCGGGUUUAAGCUGCA
Molecule: RNA transcript, 4993 nt
Organism: Corvus hawaiiensis (hawaiian crow)
Lineage: Eukaryota; Metazoa; Chordata; Aves; Passeriformes; Corvidae
Exons: 5
Source: RefSeq, a predicted model, not a curated record